CCUCCGGGAGGCUGCAGUGGGGAAUAUUGGACAAUGGGGGGAACCCUGAUCCAGCCAUGCCGCGUGUGUGAAGAAGGCCCUCGGGUUGUAAAGCACUUUCAGUGAGGAAGAACGCCUGGUGGUUAAUACCCAUCAGGAAAGACAUCACUCACAGAAGAAGCACCGGCUAACUCCGUGCCAGCAGCCGCGGUAAUACGGAGGGUGCGAGCGUUAAUCGGAAUUACUGGGCGUAAAGCGCGCGUAGGUGGCUUGAUAAGCCGGUUGUGAAAGCCCCGGGCUCAACCUGGGAACGGCAUCCGGAACUGUCAAGCUAGAGUGCAGGAGAGGAAGGUAGAAUUCCCGGUGUAGCGGUGAAAUGCGUAGAGAUCGGGAGGAAUACCAGUGGCGAAGGCGGCCUUCUGGACUGACACUGACACUGAGGUGCGAAAGCGUGGGUAGCAAACAGGAUUAGAUACCCGAGUAGUC
Molecule: ribosomal RNA, 465 nt
Filed under: Vreelandella stevensii
Lineage: Bacteria; Pseudomonadati; Pseudomonadota; Gammaproteobacteria; Oceanospirillales; Halomonadaceae
Description: partial 16S ribosomal RNA
Rfam family: Bacterial small subunit ribosomal RNA
Source: RNAcentral